Long non-coding RNA from Bos taurus (domestic cattle), 1145 nucleotides. Lineage: Eukaryota; Metazoa; Chordata; Mammalia; Artiodactyla; Bovidae. The record is from Ensembl.
GCCAGAGGGAGAGUGGGGAAGAGUCCUGGUGCAGGGCUCUCUCCACUGGCAAACACACACAGGAACAAACACACACAGCAUCACAGCGAGGACAGUCCCUUCUCCUGUAUCACCUGGGCGGGCAGAGAUCAGCACCCACAGCUCUGUCAGUGCCCCGAGCAGGGGGAGAGUCCCCUUUCCUCACCCCCUCAGCAGUCCCUCCCUCUCCUACUGGUGGUAGAGAGAGAAGCAUUGUCUGUCCCAGAAAAGAGACCAACAUUGCUGGUGCGAUCGUGCCCUGAACGUGUGCAUCGGGAAAACUAGAGCUUCCCCGUGGCUCAGAAGUAAAGAAUCUGCCCGCCAAUGCAGGAGACGCAGGAAAUGCGGGUUUGAUCGCUGGGUGGGGAAGAUCCCCUGGAGAAGGAAAUGACAACCCACUCCGGUAUUCUUGCCUGGGAAAUCCCUUGGACAGAGGAGCUUGGUGGUCUACAAGCCAAGGGGUCGCAAACAGUCAGACACAGACACAACUUAGUGACUAAACAACAACAACAAACCAUAAUAAUACCACAGCAAACAGUGAUCAAGUGCUCAAGGUGCCCCAUCCCUAUUGUGCUGAGUGCUGCACGUGUGUGGACCCAGCUGCUUCUCCCAACAUCACCGCCAGGAGGUACAGUUAUUACCAUCUGUGAGGAACCUGAGACAAGGCCAUGUGAACAGCAGGAGAUCCAACCUGCAGUGGACACUGAUGGUCGCUAGAUGGCGCAAUGGACCAACGUACGGCCUCCGCCCCGCUGCGGGACCCGGUUAAGAAAGAAGGCGCGGCGCUGCCGCAGAGCCCUGCAUUAUUGAUUGUAAGGCUGCCGCAGAGGUGGGAGGAGCCCGCCGCCAUCUCGCCAGGUCUCCCGCAGCAUCCGGGACGGCCCUUCAAGAUGCUUUCCCCUCCCUGCCAAGGCCCUUGAUGUGGGAGGAGAGAGCUCUGUGUUGCACAGUUUUCUCAUUCAUAGGAAUACCGGAUCUCUUCAAUAGUCAGAAUUAUUUUUGUUUCACGUUGUCAUUGUGAACAACGGCUCCUAAGAAUAGCAACUGUACUUCUUGAAUGCCACCGCCUUUUAAGUUAAUAUCUGUUUUUAAAUAUUAUCGAGUAUAAUUAAAAGGCAUUAAAUCAU